GACGAACGCUGGCGGCGUGCUUAACACAUGCAAGUCGAACGGUGAAGCGCCUUCCUUUUUGGUGGGUGUGGAUGAGUGGCGAACGGGUGAGUAACACGUGAGUAACCUGCCCCCUUCUUCUGGAUAACCGCAUGAAAGUGUGGCUAAUACGGGAUAUUCUGGGUCUGUCGCAUGAUGGGUCUGGGAAAGAUAUUGUUUCGGUGGGGGAUGGGCUCGCGGCCUAUCAGCUUGUUGGUGGGGUGAUGGCCUACCAAGGCGGUGACGGGUAGCCGGCCUGAGAGGGUGGACGGUCACACUGGGACUGAGACACGGCCCAGACUCCUACGAGAGGCAGCAGUGGGGAAUAGUGCACAAUGGGCGCAAGCCUGAUGCAGCGACGCCGCGUGAGGGAUGGAGGCCUUCGGGUUGUGAACCUCCUUCGCCAGUGAAGCAGGCCUGCCUCGUUUGUGGGUGGGUUGACGGUAGCUGGAUAAGAAGCGCCGGCUAACUACGUG
Molecule: ribosomal RNA, 494 nt
Filed under: uncultured bacterium
Lineage: Bacteria
Description: partial 16S ribosomal RNA
Rfam family: Bacterial small subunit ribosomal RNA
Source: RNAcentral